RNAcentral lists this ribosomal RNA (467 nucleotides) under uncultured bacterium. Its description in RNAcentral is "partial 16S ribosomal RNA". It matches the Rfam family "Bacterial small subunit ribosomal RNA", at positions 28 to 506 of the family's 1533-position model. The record is from RNAcentral.
GACGAACGCUGGCGGCGUGCUUAACACAUGCAAGUCGAACGGAAAGGCCCUGCUUUUGUGGGGUGCUCGAGUGGCGAACGGGUGAGUAACACGUGAGUAACCUGCCCUUGACUUUGGGAUAACUUCAGGAAACUGGGGCUAAUACCGGAUAGGAGCUCCUGCUGCAUGGUGGGGGUUGGAAAGUUUCGGCGGUUGGGGAUGGACUCGCGGCUUAUCAGCUUGUUGGUGGGGUAGUGGCUUACCAAGGCUUUGACGGGUAGCCGGCCUGAGAGGGUGACCGGCCACAUUGGGACUGAGAUACGGCCCAGACUCCUACGGGAGGCAGCAGUGGGGAAUAUUGCACAAUGGGCGGAAGCCUGAUGCAGCAACGCCGCGUGCGGGAUGACGGCCUUCGGGUUGUAAACCGCUUUCGCCUGUGACGAAGCGUGAGUGACGGUAAUGGGUAAAGAAACACCGGCCAACUACGU